Chiloscyllium plagiosum (whitespotted bambooshark) is the source of this 2426-nucleotide non-coding RNA. Lineage: Eukaryota; Metazoa; Chordata; Chondrichthyes; Orectolobiformes; Hemiscylliidae. The record is from RefSeq and is a predicted model, not a curated record.
UAUUGUAAAUUAGCAAUCUCUCCGUUCCUCCUCCCCACAGCUACGGGGUUUGUUACAUCCUCAAAGUGGCCCAGUGCGGUGCAGCAAAUCUAAUAAUGUUCCACAGUAGCACAGAAACAGCAACAACUUCCUCCGAACAGCCUCUCAAAACAAGCAGCACUCAGAGUGGCUCACAUUUCACCUCCUAGGACAUGGUGAGCAAGACAGCUCGCAGUGACCUGGAUAGCAGUACCAAACCUUCAAGUUCCUCUGUUGGCGAUAAGAUUAAACACCAGCCCCCGGGGAAAAAAAGGGGACGCCCGUUUGCUUUAUAUUUCUGACGAGCUUAUCUGUGUAACCCGGUGGAAUGCAUUGAACCGACCGCUAAGCAAAACAAAACCGAAAGGUUCGGGACUUUUAACCGAGACUGAUCCUCAACAAAGCCCCGCACGCCUAAUCUUUUAAUAUCAGUGCACACUUCAAUUUACCCUCCCCAUUGAACAAGUUUCCAAGAUGCGGUGGCUCGACUCAGCUCACAAGCUGGACUAUUUAAAAAAAAACACCUUUCAAUCAUGAUUGUUGUUCAUCUGAGCUCAAGCUCUGAGCUCCCGGGAGAAAGGAGGUGGAAAACACAGGUUGGUCGUUUCUUUGAAGUCAAGCGGAAAUAGAUGGAGCAACACGCAGCGUUACUGUCAAAGGAACCAAAGCUAACCGUGCAAACGGCAGGGUGCCUUUGUGAGGGUAAAACUGCAACAAAGAACUGGGGAAGUUGGAGAUCUGAAACAAAAAAAACCACAAAAGUUCUGGAGAAACUCAGCAAGUUUGGCAGCAUCCGUGGGGAAAGGGAGAGAGAGAAAAAAACAAAGAUAGAGUUUCGAGUCCAGUCACCUUCCGUCCCUGUUAAUGUGGGAGUCACGCAGAAAGUAAUUGAACAUGCAUCACGGCCAAAACAUUCACAGGACCCUGCAGCAUGAUGACUUCAAGUGUAAUAGCGAAUCACUUAUUUCCAAUGUCAUUCGGUGAUAUCAUGAUACAAUGUGAUUGUUUUAUUUAGGAGCGAUAGACAUGUGAAUGGAAUCUGAAACUUCGACAAAUUAUGUUCAAUUUCUACCCCAGCGUUAAAGUUGGGAAUGAGACAAUCACUAAAAAAUUUAGGAAUUGCACAGUGAAACUUGCUGCUACAAUGAACUGUUAGUGCAUUUUAGGCGGGGGAGGGCUUGAUGCUCACACAAACCAUCGUCCCUUUUACCUUUCCCUCGUAUGUAAUAAAACCAACUGGAUUUGCACGUGAAAUGCCCAGUAAAUGCCUCUCAGAAAAUUAAAUUAUGAAGUAAUCGAUCACACUCUGUGUAAUGUUGAGCACCACCAAAACACUGCUUUCAGUUUCGUAACUUGCAUCAAGUCUCAUUCAUCUAGCUUUACUCCCUGUUAGGCAAUAGCUCAAUUAUUUGAAUACUCUUCCUAGGUUUCAUACCCCGGUCCAUCACUCCAUGAUUCUGUCAUCUCCUUCAUUCCUUCAAGACGCUAGCUAUUCUCAACUCUAGCUUCUUGAGCACUGUUGAGUAUAAUCACUUCAUCAUUGGCAGUUAUGCCUUUAACCUAACUCCAGAAUUCCUCCCCUUGAAAUAGCUCUGCUUCUCUUCUCUUUGCACCUCUAAUUAGGUUCUAUAAAUGGCUGGGUGUUUAAGUUUGUUUGAGUACUACUCUUCUGAAAUAAUCUGGAGAUGCCGGUGUUGGACUGGGGUGUACAUAGUUAAAAAUCACAAAACACCAGGUUAGAGUCCAACAGGUUUAUUUGGAAUGCUUUGAGCCAUUUUGCUUAGCUGAAGCUCCUACUUAAAUACAAGGUGCUGUUAAUGUCUGCCAAACAAAGCCCCUCAACAAUUUCAAUCAUGGAGUCUUAAUUCUUCAGAGUGAAUUGUUGAAAGAAUUAAAAUUUCCAAACCUUACAGUUUCAAUUUUGUUCCUUUUCUCGUAUGAUCCAAUUAAUCUCUUAUUUCCAUUUCUUUAUCCGAUUUGACACAAACUCUUCCCGCUUCUUUCUCUAAACAAAAUUCUUAAAUCUUGUGGAUUCAUGCAUUUAUAAUACACUCUAGCUCAAAGGCUGUGAGUAGUUUGAUCAAUUACCUUCUGAACAUCCAUAAUUAGAAUUAAGGUUUUUGUUUAAUACCUUAUAUUUGUUUGCAUUUUGUUAUUUUUGUACAAUUGCUGAUCCCACUUAAUUGUCCCAUUACCUUCACUGCACAUACUUCCAAAUGUUACAAAAGACUUUUUACUGAAGAAUGUGGGAUGCCUGUUAUUUGAUAUCAUUGUGUCUAUAAAUAACCACUGGAAAGGGUGGUAGUCUUUUUUUUAAAAGAAAGGUUUAUUUUUAUAAUGGAACUUGGUGACUCAUACGUAGAGAAAAUAAAGAUCAAAAAUAGAUCAAGCAAGAUUUGAACUUCUGC